This 806-nucleotide ribosomal RNA is filed under the name uncultured bacterium. Its description in RNAcentral is "bacterial SSU rRNA". It matches the Rfam family "Bacterial small subunit ribosomal RNA", at positions 1 to 792 of the family's 1533-position model. The record is from RNAcentral.
UAGAGUUUGAUCCUGGCUCAGAAUCAACGCUGGCGGCGUGCCUAACACAUGCAAGUCGAACGCGAAAGGGGCUUCGGCCCUGAGUAGAGUGGCAAACGGGUGAGUAACACGUGGGUGACCUGCCUUCGAGUGGGGGAUAACGUCCCGAAAGGGACGCUAAUACCGCAUGACAUCCUGCUUUUGGAAAAGCGGAGAUCAAAGCUGGGGAUCGCAAGACCUGGCGCUUGAAGAGGGGCCCGCGCCUGAUUAGCUAGUUGGUGGGGUAAUGGCCUACCAAGGCAACGAUCAGUAUCCGGCCUGAGAGGGCGGACGGACACACUGGGACUGAGACACGGCCCAGACUCCUACGGGAGGCAGCAGUGGGGAAUUGUUCGCAAUGGGCGCAAGCCUGACGACGCAACGCCGCGUGGAGGAUGAAGAUCUUCGGGUCGUAAACUCCUGUCGAGUGGGAAGAAUAGCUUUCGGGUGAAUAUCCCGGGAGCCUGACGGUACCACUAAAGGAAGCCCCGGCUAACUCCGUGCCAGCAGCCGCGGUAAUACGGGGGGGGCAAGCGUUGUUCGGAAUUACUGGGCGUAAAGGGCUCGUAGGCGGCCAACUAAGUCGGAUGUGAAAUCCCCAGGCUUAACCUGGGAACUGCAUCCGAUACUGGAUGGCUUGAAUUCGGGAGAGGGAUGCAGAAUUCCAGGUGUAGCGGUGAAAUGCGUAGAUAUCUGGAGGAAUACCGGUGGCGAAGGCGGCAUCCUGGACCGACAUUGACGCUGAGGAGCGAAAGCUAGGGGAGCAAACGGGAUUAGAUACCCCGGUA